Molecule: microRNA precursor, 108 nt
Filed under: Genlisea aurea
Lineage: Eukaryota; Viridiplantae; Streptophyta; Magnoliopsida; Lamiales; Lentibulariaceae
Description: MIR168 microRNA precursor family
Rfam family: MIR168 microRNA precursor family
Source: Rfam by way of RNAcentral
UUUGCGGUGGUUUCUGAUUCGCUUGGUGCAGGUCGGGAACUUUUUUCCGUGUUUUUUCGCCGUAUUUGUUCCCGCCUUGCAUCAACUGAAUCUGCGACCGCGGCAAUU